AACAAGAAAUGUGGUGCGGAGGUAUAUAGUCUAAUCAAUGCAGUUCGAGUUGAUCUUAUGGUGCUGUAACCAUUGCACCAUAUCAUGUAGACAUUUAAUUUAAAUUGAACCUUUAUUUAACCACAGCCUAGGCGCUCUACCGGUUAGCAUAUGUGCCUUGUCUUUAUGACAAUGGGGUUGAGGAGAUUAUAGACAGUAAUUGUGUCAUCUUACAUUGUAACAGACAUUAAUUGUGUGAUCUUACAUUGCAGAAUAAAAAUGAAAGGUGUUGUUGCAUUUUAAUUACUUAUGAUCAGGUCUAGUCACUUUUAUUCAUAAUCAUAAUCUCCAGUGUCUGAUGUGUUGGUUAGCCAUGGUUUAUUUGCAUGAGAACAUGUCAUGCUUUAACAACUGUAUAGCCUUGCAUGAAAUACAUGGCCCCAGGAACCACCUGGGGUAGGCCUAUUUGGCCGCAUGUAGUCUGGUCUAUUGUGUAUUUGUAACCCCCACCUCUACUGUCGAUAGUGGUCAUGAGUAUCAUAAUAAUUUAAUUACUUUUAGCCCAAUGGACACAAAACAUUUUUAUUACAGAUUAUAAACGUGGUAUCACAUUAUACUUGUGUGUUACUGUUAGAGACUAUCUGACUUGAUCCCGUGUUAAUCUAUUUAUAAUUCUAUAAUUAGCCUAGCAGUAGUAAUUAUCAUGUUAUGGUUGAGAUGGAAUGAUCUAUGUGCAUUAUAUUUGUAGCGGUAGUAAUUAUUGUGUUAUGGGUUAGAUGGAAUGAUCUAUGUGCAUUAAAUUUGUAGCGGUAGUAAUUAUUGUGUUAUGGGUUAGAUGGAAUGAUCUAUGUGCAUUGUAUUUGGGCAGAGGGAAAGGGGGCCUGUCUCUUGAGGCCAAGAAUGAUUCCACGAGGGUUGAAUAGUAGUCAUGUGUCUGGAGUUAGUGCUGAUAGAUCAUAAUUACUAAUCUAUAACACUUUCUUAUAUCUUUACUGUUUUAUAUCAUUGUAUACUCUUGGUGUGAAUGUACCCUUUUUAUAUAUUCUUAGAGAUUGAAAUUAAGUGCUAGGUUUAAGCUCUUUGUGUAUGAGAAGUGUAAUUAUCUAGUGGUCUUCAGUGGACUUUAGGAAUGUGUACUUCCAAUAACUCAAGGCCUCUCCUGACUGACAAGAAGACCCGUGAAAGGCACGGAGGAAUACGAAAGCUCUGGAUUUAGGCUGGGACACGAUAACACCAACGGGAGGAACAGACUCAGUUCUUGCCCAGCAACAGAGAUUGAUUGUUUAAUACAGAAAUACAACAAGGUCACUCCGCCUAAUCGGAAGGUAUAAAUAUAUGCGCUUGUGUGACCUGUAGGAGUGGUUUUGCAGAUGUAACACCCAGUGUUGUGAAUAAAUCAAGCUUGAGUUUUUCUUGGGAGUCCGUCGGGAUUAUUGUACCAGAAAUUAGAAUCCAACCGUUAGGAUGGAAGUUUUUCUUUGUCAAUACAUAUAACAAUAGUAAUUUAGCAUAUAACCCAUACGAUAUCAACUGUCAAUAGCUUUCACGUUUAGAAUUGUAUGUAUCAGGAACUCCCAUUGUGUCACAAAUAACUGUGAGGUCAAUUUCCCCAACUCACUCGGCAGGUUCUGGGCUCAAUAGAUUGGUCUUCAAAGGACCCCAAAGAACUGCAAGCUCCUCUGGCACCCAUACUGCAUCAACAAGUCAAAGCUCCGGGCCUGAUGUCUUUCAGGCAUCCCGGUCCCCUACCCGUCUCUUAAAGCUCUGGACCUUCUACCCAUGUGUCCCCUACCACUAAGAAGACCAGGCAGGAGGUAACCAGCUCUGUAUUUGGCACUUGACAUUGCAUUAUGAAAACAUGCAUUUCACAUUCGAUUCAAAUGGGUGACAGUUAAGCUGCUUUAAAUGUGUCAUAAUCUUCUCUCGGCAUCUUGAGUCCAUGGGCUUUGCAACUGUGUCCAGAGCUUCAGAUUCACCAGAAAAAGAUCCAAGAGUCUUCGGCCAUAUUGGAGUAUUGUCUUUCUAAGGAGGAUCAGGGAACUGCAGCCUCCUUCACCUCGUCCUGCGCAACAUCCAUGAUCUCCACCUUCCCAGCUGGACACAAGCUUUAGCUCCCCUGAUUACAAGGACCAGGGCUCUGACAACAUACUGUACCUCCAACAUCCACCAAAUCAAGUCUGGAGUCUUGAGUUCGACUCAACUACAUCUUAAACAAACCGUGAUCAGUGGACCCAACGGAAGUAUACUGUGCAUGGAGUCCAAGAUCAUGGAUCUAAUCAAGCUUAUCCAAAAGUGUUGGUCUGCCAUAAUCAACACCAGCAAAAUAUUAAAAGGAAGACAAAUUGAGAUCAACUGGCAGAGCGCAUCAAAGGAUGUAUGGGGAGUUGGGGAUCUUGCCCGAAUGUUAGAAGGAUGUCACAGGCUAAUGUAGUUGCACCGUCUUCAGUGCUGUUCACUGGUGACACUUUCACAGACAUACAUUACUAGGCUGAACUAUGUCCAAUACAGUUCCCUUCACAAACAACAUAAUUCUUAGUCCUCUUACUUCCUACCCGUCACAACCCAGGAUUACAGACAGACUGAAGCAGGAAAAUAUCAUUUCCACUAUUGUUCAGAAUGGCAAUGAAGGCAAAGCUGUGCACAUCUGUGGUGAUGGAAGGAAUGACAGCCCUGGCUGGCCAGUCCGCUAAAUUUACGACAUAUAGCUUCAUGGAUGACAAGACCAAGAAAGUAAUUCAAGCUAAUGUGAUUUCGAUCACUGAAGCCACCAGGUCAAUUUCAAGGACUGAACAGCAUACUGACAGAGGGUGUACCUGUAGAGUUUAUAACUACUCUUGUUCAACAGGGCUGGCACAGUUAUCGUAUAAUCGUGUAACAGACAAUUAUGAACAAUAAACGUGAACUCAAAAAUAU
Oncorhynchus kisutch (coho salmon) is the source of this 2892-nucleotide long non-coding RNA. RefSeq lists it as uncharacterized. Lineage: Eukaryota; Metazoa; Chordata; Actinopteri; Salmoniformes; Salmonidae. The record is from RefSeq and is a predicted model, not a curated record. The transcript has 5 exons.